This 83-nucleotide small nucleolar RNA is filed under the name Candidatus Mancarchaeum acidiphilum. Its description in RNAcentral is "C/D box methylation guide snoRNA". The record is from RNAcentral. Lineage: Archaea; Nanobdellati; Microcaldota.
AAUCCUGAUGAACUAUGUCUCUUCAAGUGGGCCCUCCAAAGCCCUGGGAAAAAAUACAUCUAAAAUAUGUAGACUACCUGACG